GGGCCUAUAGUUUAGUGGUAGAAUGCUGGUCUCCAAAACCAGCGGCCGAGGUUCGAGUCCUCGUGGGCCCG
RNAcentral lists this transfer RNA (71 nucleotides) under Candidatus Nomurabacteria bacterium. RNAcentral describes it as "tRNA-Trp". It matches the Rfam family "tRNA". From Rfam's summary of the family: Transfer RNA (tRNA) molecules are approximately 80 nucleotides in length. Their secondary structure includes four short double-helical elements and three loops (D, anti-codon, and T loops). The record is from RNAcentral. Lineage: Bacteria; Candidatus Nomuraibacteriota.